ACUCAUACCAGGCAGGGGAGAUGCCAUGAUCAUAAAAGUGGUUUUCCCAGGGUAAGGCUCAUCUAUUGCACUUUGGAUGUGCUGAUGCCUGUGAUUUCCCCAAAUGUGGGAAAAUUAACUGCCUAGUUUGUGGUAAUGGAGGGAUUGUGUUUAUGGUUUCCCCUG
Small nuclear RNA from Pogona vitticeps (central bearded dragon), 165 nucleotides. Its record names the gene U1. It matches the Rfam family "U1 spliceosomal RNA". From Rfam's summary of the family: U1 is a small nuclear RNA (snRNA) component of the spliceosome (involved in pre-mRNA splicing). Its 5' end forms complementary base pairs with the 5' splice junction, thus defining the 5' donor site of an intron. NCBI's taxonomy places the organism in Eukaryota, Metazoa, Chordata, Lepidosauria, Squamata, Agamidae. The record is from Ensembl.